AGCAACUGGAAAACAAGCAUUGCAUUGCAUCAGGAUGUCUAUGAAAUGGACUUCAGCUCUUCUGCUGAUACAGCUGAGCUGUUACUUUAGCUCUGGGAGUUGUGGAAAGGUGCUGGUGUGGCCCACAGAAUUCAGCCACUGGAUGAAUAUGAAGACAAUCCUGGAUGAACUUGUCCAGAGAGGUCAUGAGGUGACUGUAUUGGCAUCUUCAGCUUCCAUUUCUUUUGAUCCCAGCAGCCCAUCUACUCUUAAAUUUGAAGUUUAUCCUGUAUCUUUAACUAAAACUGAGUUUGAGGAUAUUAUCAAGCAGCUGGUUAAGAGAUGGGCAGAACUUCCAAAAGACACAUUUUGGUCAUAUUUUUCACAAGUACAGGAAAUCAUGUGGACAUUUAGUGACAUACUUAGAAAGUUCUGUAAGGAUAUAGUUUCAAAUAAGAAACUUAUGAAGAAACUACAGGAGUCAAGAUUUGAUGUUGUUCUUGCAGAUGCUGUUUUCCCCUUUGGAAGACCCACUACGUUAUCUGAGACAAUGGCAAAAGCUGACAUAUGGCUUAUUCGAAACUACUGGGAUUUUCAAUUUCCUCACCCACUCUUACCAAAUGUUGAGUUCGUUGGAGGACUCCACUGCAAACCUGCCAAACCCCUACCGAAGGAAAUGGAAGAGUUUGUCCAGAGCUCUGGAGAAAAUGGUGUUGUGGUGUUUUCUCUGGGGUCGAUGGUCAGUAACACGUCAGAAGAAAGGGCCAAUGUAAUUGCAUCAGCCCUUGCCAAGAUCCCACAAAAGGUUCUGUGGAGAUUUGAUGGGAAUAAACCAGAUACUUUAGGACUCAAUACUCGGCUGUACAAGUGGAUACCCCAGAAUGAUCUUCUUGAUAUAAAGAGAAUGCUAUGAAAUUAUCAAGAAUUCAUCAUGAUCAACUAGUGAAGCCCCUUGAUCGAGCAGUCUUCUGGAUUGAAUUUGUCAUGCGCCAUAAAGGAGCCAAGCACCUUCGGGUUGCAGCCCACGACCUCACCUGGUUCCAGUACCACUCUUUGGAUGUGAUUGGGUUCCUGCUGGCCUGUGUGGCAACUGUGAUAUUCAUCAUCACAAAAUGUCUGUUUUGUGUCUGGAAGUUUGCUAGAACAGCAAAGAAGGGGAAAAGAGAUUAAUUACGUCUGAGGCUGGAAGCUGGGAAACCCAAUAAAUGAACUCCUUCAGUUUAUUACAACAAGAAGACGUUGUGAUACAAGAGAUUCCUUUCUUCUUGUGACAAAACAUCUUUCAAAACUUACCUUGUCAAGUCAAAAUUUGUUUUAGUACCUGUUUAACCGUUAGAAAUAUUUCAUGUCAAGGAGGAAAACAUUAGGGAAAACAAAAAUGAUAUAAAGCCAUAUGAGGUUAUAUUGAAAUGUAUUGAGCUUAUAUUGAAAUUUAUUGUUCCAAUUCACAGGUUACAUGAAAAAAAUUUACUA
This 1452-nucleotide small RNA is filed under the name Pan troglodytes (chimpanzee). RNAcentral's name for it is "processed transcript". The record is from RNAcentral. Lineage: Eukaryota; Metazoa; Chordata; Mammalia; Primates; Hominidae.